GUGGCAUAAAGCUGAAGGGGAGAAGCCAGAGGAAUCAGACCCACAACUGGCCUCCAGGAUGUGAGCAGAGAAACAGGACACACUGCUUAGGCCCUGCCAGGCCUGUCUGGACAGGAGAGACUGCCCUGGACACAAGAGCCUGAGCCCAGGACCCUGGAGCCAUGGGGAGCGGCGCGACGCUGAGGGGUGCAGCGGG
This 196-nucleotide long non-coding RNA is filed under the name Cavia porcellus (domestic guinea pig). RNAcentral's name for it is "lncRNA (ENSCPOG00000039166.1)". Lineage: Eukaryota; Metazoa; Chordata; Mammalia; Rodentia; Caviidae. The record is from RNAcentral.